RNAcentral lists this ribosomal RNA (253 nucleotides) under uncultured bacterium. RNAcentral describes it as "partial 16S ribosomal RNA". It matches the Rfam family "Bacterial small subunit ribosomal RNA", at positions 524 to 776 of the family's 1533-position model. The record is from RNAcentral.
UACGUAGGGGGCAAGCGUUGUCCGGAAUCAUUGGGCGUAAAGCGCGUGUAGGCGGCUCGAUAAGUCUGCUGUGAAAGUCCAAGGCUCAACCUUGGGAUGCCGGUGGAUACUGUCGAGCUCGAGUCCGGAAGAGGAGUGUGGAAUUCCUGGUGUAGCGGUGAAAUGCGCAGAUAUCAGGAGGAACACCAAUGGCGAAGGCAGCACUCUGGGACGUGACUGACGCUGAGACGCGAAAGCGUGGGGAUCAAACAGG